CCUUCCUGGAGGUGUCAUUAGAGGUAACUUCCUCCAGGUUGAGGAUAGAACCUGACAACUGGCCCUGUGGAACUCACCGAGGGAGAUUUUUCUCAGCAAGGGCUCUGAGGCUGGACUAUAAAUCGCCAGACACCCGGGCAAGGGUCUUCUUACAUGUGUCCCCCAUGGCCUGCCUGCCACAAAUUGGAAACUGAGAAGUAGCAAGGCCAAGAUGUUCAAGACAGAGCCUGGCCCGCAAGCAGCCCAGCGUAUAAUCUUUCUGGAAACCAUUACUGUGUUAUUAAAAUCCCCGAGGUUCCCAUGAAAGGGGUCUCCAAAGGAAGUUGUUGAAAACCCUUCCCCUAGUGGUGACACCAUCGGUGGACGAGUACAAGCCUUUGCUGAAUCUACUGAUUGUUUCUAUUGAAUCCAUUGUGGCAACUCUGCUCGUAAAUUCAAAGCAGGACACCGGUGACAAUGACAAGUGUGUGAACUCUGGGGCCAGACACUGGAAAAACAUUUCCAUGCAUUAUUUCAUCCCGCACUGGACUCCCGGGAAGUUGCUAUUUCUGGCUCUACAGAUGUGAAAAAUUAGACGCGGGGAUUUAACUUUCGGCAUCAACUCAUGUGUCAGGCUCCCAGGAAAGGCCUGCUCACAGGGAGAGCCUCGAAUAUAACGGCUCUAACGUUCUCACAUGUUUGUCUAUGGGGAGGUGAUCAGGGACCGCUGGAGGGAGGUGAUCCUGCUUCAGUACAUGUGACUUCAUCCCUGCCUUCAUUGUGGAUUUUCUAGAUGCUAGCAUUGCCCACUUCUCAGAGAAAGGGAGAAAUCCAGUAAGCGAUGGAGCUAGAAUUUGAAAAGAGGCCUGUGCAGGUCUCGACUGUGAUGUUCGAUAACCACUGAACUGACCUGCCCCUUAUUCCAACUCCUAACCAAAGGGCAAGCAUGACAAUGAUGACUUAUUCUUGUCCUGCUUACCAUUAUGACUUAAGAUAACCAGAGUUUAAGAUGGCUCCCAGUGACUCUUAACUGUUCGGCCUUAUAGCCCUGGUCAGGUAAUUCUCUCCCACCCUUCAGAGCGGACAAUACUGAGGAUAUGGCAGACAGCCUCCUCCAAUUAGAGAAAGCUAAGGCCCAAAAUACAGUGCAUUAUUUUCUUGGCCCAUUGGCUAGGGGGAGUCUAGGUGCCAUGCUAUUAACAGUUCUAUGUGGCGAGGGCUACAGAAUGAAGUAUCCAGGCCUCCCUGGGUUUGUUUCUUUUGAAACUUGCCAGUCACAUGAGCAAGCUACCUUGAAAACAGAUCCCCCCCAAACCUCAGCCAGUCCUCAGAGAGGUACAGCUUAGGCCCCAUCUUGAGCACAAUUGUGCAGUCCCCGAAUUAGAACAAGAGAAGGGAAUAAAUGCCCGUUUUUAUCUCGUACCGUGAAAUCUCCUGCUAGCUUACAAUGUAACAGAGAUAACAUCGACUUGAGAUGAUGUGCUUUUAAUAUAUCAAACUUGGACCACCGCUUCUGGAGAGCCUUUAUCCAGCAGCAAGUUCACAGUGCUUCCUCAGAAACCCUGCUUCUUUGCUGCACCGAGUGCCAUACAAAACUCGUGUGAUGGAGGAGGGUCAUCUGUCUAUCUGUUGCUUUCAUUGGUUAAUUAAUAAAGAAACUGCUUGGCUUGAUAGGUCAGAACAUAGGUGGGUGGAGUAGACAGAACAGAAUGCUGGGAAGAAGGGAAGUGAGGUCAGACCGCCAUGAAGCCAGCCACCAGGUCAGACAUGCUGAAUCUUUCCCAGUAAGCCACCACCUUGUGGUGCUACACAGAUUAUUAGAAAUGGGUUAAUCAAGAUGUGAAAGCUAGCCAGUAAGAGGAUAGAGCUAACAGGCCAGGCAGUGUUUAAAAGAAUACAGUUUGUGUGUUAUUAUUUCUGGGGCUCAGCUAGCCAUGUGGGAGCAGGCGGGACGAAAAGAAGGCCAGCCUGCAGCUUCUUCUGCACUCAAGUUUGUGUUUGUUGCAAGUUAGCUUCCUUUUCCAAACCGUGUGUUCCCUGAUAGCAGUGUCUGUGUGCAGAUUAAUCUGCCGAAGCCUAGCAGUGCUGACUUAUG
This is a long non-coding RNA of Alexandromys fortis (reed vole), 2074 nucleotides long. RefSeq lists it as uncharacterized. The record is from RefSeq and is a predicted model, not a curated record. The transcript has 3 exons. Lineage: Eukaryota; Metazoa; Chordata; Mammalia; Rodentia; Cricetidae.